RNAcentral lists this ribosomal RNA (989 nucleotides) under Vibrio sp. PaD1.18a. RNAcentral's name for it is "bacterial SSU rRNA". It matches the Rfam family "Bacterial small subunit ribosomal RNA", at positions 467 to 1456 of the family's 1533-position model. Lineage: Bacteria; Pseudomonadati; Pseudomonadota; Gammaproteobacteria; Vibrionales; Vibrionaceae. The record is from RNAcentral.
AUUUGACGUUAGCUGCAGAAGAAGCACCGGCUAACUCCGUGCCAGCAGCCGCGGUAAUACGGAGGGUGCGAGCGUUAAUCGGAAUUACUGGGCGUAAAGCGCAUGCAGGUGGAUGAUUAAGUCAGAUGUGAAAGCCCGGGGCUCAACCUCGGAAUAGCAUUUGAAACUGGUCAUCUAGAGUACUGUAGAGGGGGGUAGAAUUUCAGGUGUAGCGGUGAAAUGCGUAGAGAUCUGAAGGAAUACCGGUGGCGAAGGCGGCCCCCUGGACAGAUACUGACACUCAGAUGCGAAAGCGUGGGGAGCAAACAGGAUUAGAUACCCUGGUAGUCCACGCCGUAAACGAUGUCUACUUGGAGGUUGUGGCCUUGAGCCGUGGCUUUCGGAGCUAACGCGUUAAGUAGACCGCCUGGGGAGUACGGUCGCAAGAUUAAAACUCAAAUGAAUUGACGGGGGCCCGCACAAGCGGUGGAGCAUGUGGUUUAAUUCGAUGCAACGCGAAGAACCUUACCUACUCUUGACAUCCAUAGAACUUUCCAGAGAUGGAUUGGUGCCUUCGGGAACUAUGAGACAGGUGCUGCAUGGCUGUCGUCAGCUCGUGUUGUGAAAUGUUGGGUUAAGUCCCGCAACGAGCGCAACCCUUAUCCUUGUUUGCCAGCACUUCGGGUGGGAACUCCAGGGAGACUGCCGGUGAUAAACCGGAGGAAGGUGGGGACGACGUCAAGUCAUCAUGGCCCUUACGAGUAGGGCUACACACGUGCUACAAUGGCGCAUACAGAGGGCGGCCAACUUGCGAAAGUGAGCGAAUCCCAAAAAGUGCGUCGUAGUCCGGAUUGGAGUCUGCAACUCGACUCCAUGAAGUCGGAAUCGCUAGUAAUCGUGGAUCAGAAUGCCACGGUGAAUACGUUCCCGGGCCUUGUACACACCGCCCGUCACACCAUGGGAGUGGGCUGCAAAAGAAGUGGGUAGUUUAACCUUCGGGGGGACGCUCA